UGAAACCAGGGGUUAGAUACCCUGUUACACUUUAUUUAAAUUUUGUUUUACCUGGGUAAUAAACAGUUAUUGUCUUGAAACUCAAAGGAUUUGGCGGUAAUUUAGUCUAUUUAGAGGAACCUGUCCUGUAAACGAUAAACCACGAAGUAUCUUACCUUAUUUAGUAGACUAUCAGUUUGUAUACCGUCAUUAUUAGAUAACUUUAAUAAAAAUUAGUUGUUGUAAUAAUUGUUUUAAUAUAUUAGAUCAAGGUGCAGCUAAUAAUAAGGAAGAGAUGGGUUACAAUAAGAUAUAUUUAUACGGAUUGAGAAUUGAAAUAUUUUCAUGAAGGUGAAUUUAAUAGUAAGAAUAGUUUAAUAAGCUUUUCUGAUUUUAGCUCUAGAUUAUGUACAUAUCGCCCCGUCGCACACACCCGAA
RNAcentral lists this ribosomal RNA (417 nucleotides) under Pleoticus robustus. Its description in RNAcentral is "partial 12S ribosomal RNA". The stretch from base 54 to 417 matches the Rfam family "Microsporidia small subunit ribosomal RNA", at positions 752 to 1212 of the family's 1311-position model. Lineage: Eukaryota; Metazoa; Arthropoda; Malacostraca; Decapoda; Solenoceridae. The record is from RNAcentral.